RNAcentral lists this transfer RNA (73 nucleotides) under Gonatophragmium mori. RNAcentral's name for it is "tRNA-Asp". The record is from RNAcentral. Lineage: Eukaryota; Fungi; Ascomycota; Dothideomycetes; Acrospermales; Acrospermaceae.
GAGUUAGUAUCUUAAUAGGUAGAGAACUUUUUUGUCAAGAAAGUAGAUGUCGGAUCGAAGCCGAUCUAACUCG